UUCCAAGCAAGAUGUACUUUUGUUUGGAUCCUAUCGGCGGGGAAAAAAGUACUUACGGCGACGGUGACAAGAAAUAGCGCUGAUUGCGAGAUUACCAGAUCCAGAAGAUCCGGAAGGGCUGUUACAAGUAAUUGGUUUUGCUAGAGCAAAAGGAGGUUGACAAUGAUUGCAACAGGUGAAAUAAACUGUUGGAAUCACGACUAUCGAUCACGCCAGAAGAUCCGGAAAGAGUUGUUGAAAGUAAUUGGUUUUGCUCAAAUGCUAGAGCACAAGGAGGUUGACGAUGAUUGCAACAGGAAAAUAAUCAGUAGCAGCUGGUAUGGCUUCUUCACAUGGUUGUUUCCGCAUCCUUUUUCUGCACAAUAAUACGGCAUCUGAAGAAAAUAAGAUAUUCACAAUAUAAUUUUGGCAUGAUAGAGAACCGCGAGAUGAACGAUUAUCUGUGGAGGAGUUGGACAACAGAUUUCUUAGACUUAUAGCCCUUUAAUCACACUCACAAGCUCUUCAAAUCCUCACUGUCCCCCAAAACUAUUGAAUAAUAUGUAAUAUAAAUACCUUAUUGCAGCUCUAGUACACUAUUUUUCACGAAUAUAUAUUUGCUUAUUUCUUUCUUCAGUUGUUUUCCUCAGCGAGUUGAUAUGAAACCAUAACGACACAACCAAACAAAAAGUAAACAAUGCAGAAAGCUACGUCUCGCAACUCGUCUCACGUAUUGUCAUGAAAGUGUCAAGAACGAAACACCUAUAGUUUAGCAUCUUGGAUAGAA
Long non-coding RNA from Toxorhynchites rutilus septentrionalis, 766 nucleotides. RefSeq lists it as uncharacterized. The transcript is spliced from 3 exons. Lineage: Eukaryota; Metazoa; Arthropoda; Insecta; Diptera; Culicidae. The record is from RefSeq and is a predicted model, not a curated record.